This 2592-nucleotide long non-coding RNA is filed under the name Pocillopora damicornis (cauliflower coral). RNAcentral describes it as "uncharacterized LOC113684293". The record is from RNAcentral. Lineage: Eukaryota; Metazoa; Cnidaria; Anthozoa; Scleractinia; Pocilloporidae.
GCCAUUGCAUGGACUUGUAUGUACAGUAUUGUUUAAAAGUUCUGGAUUUUUGGUGAAUUUUGGUCCAAAAUGAAAUUUGCACAGCAUGUUGUCAAAUUUUUGGGGCAGCUAUUUUUGGAUUUAUCUGAAAUUUCCCCCAUGUAACAAUCAGAGGGACCCUCUACCUUAACUCUAUAACCUCUAAAAAAAGUUAGCAACUAACUCUUUUUCCAGUAUACCUGGGAAAUGUAAAGGAAACAGUGUGGAGAACAUGUUUAUUGGUGAUAGGAUGUUCAGGGUUAAAAUGCUCAGUGUAUUCAAGACAGUCCGGCCCCUUUUCAAAUAACACAUCUUGGUACAAAUAGCCAGUCAAUUUAACCUCUGUGUUGUCUUUUUCAUAGAUAAUUCUGGUGAUAAAUUGCAGUUGAACAUAGGACUGUUUGUCGGAAUAUGUUCUAUUGUAUUCAUAGUUGGGAUCUUCGUUGGUGGAAUAAUUGCUAUUUUAGUAUUUAGAGUUUCUAGACGCAAGUCAAAAACAAAUUUAUGGUUCACACAUUUUGCAUUUAAUUGGGCAAUAAAUCCAACCAGAAAAAACUAGGUUUGUAACAUACAGUACCAGUACAGACCAAGAAAACAAGACACCCAUAUUACAAGAGUUCCUAGCAAAUUAACUGGUUUCUCUCGUCCAAAUUAAACAGUUUCCACAUUAUCCACAGUUAGUGAGAGUGCACAAAUGGUGCAAACAUAACUUUAGUGAGUUCUCAAACUCAUUAAUUAUUCAUAAGAUGAUUAUCCAACCACGAUAUGCCAAUUUCAUCACCUGCUUGUGGUUUGAAACCCCAGUGAAACAUUGGAAUGACGCGCUAUCCAUGAGUUUCAUAUAAUGUCAAACCCUUGAGUUUGAUGUAGCAUCAAACUCUGAACUCAUUUCUUGAUUUGAAUAUCAUUCAAUACCAACAACAUGUGAAAAAUUUGUGAAUACUUCUAUUUUCUUUUAUUCCUAAGGUACAAUUGAGAAGCUAUUUCAAAAACUUGUGCAUCGGGUUUCAUUAUGGUUUCCAAACACUCAAAAACAAUGAAAGCAUUAUCAGUUUUCUUGUGUUUGGAAACCCUGAUGAAACCCUCCCACUUGUGUUUGAAAUAGUAUAUCCUGGGGGGUCACUCUUGAUAUUUCCUCCAUUCUGGAGCUUAGGGAGUGAAUGGGUUAAAAUAUUAGUACUAAUGUUUUGUCAGCUAUUUAGUAUCCUCUGUGAGAAGAGUUUAAAGCAUUUGAGACUAAGCAAAUUUACUUCUAGAUAAAAUAUUUCAAUAUUAUGAAGAGAGAUUUAACGAGGGGCCUUUGCACAUAAGGCCCAGUUGUUUGGAGGGUGGAUUAUGCUAUCAACUUAUAAAUAGCUUUCCUGCAGAUAGAGGUUUAAUCUGUGGAUGGUGUUAUACACCCUUUGAAAAACCAGGGCAAACACUUCAGUAAAUGGUAUGCUUGCCUGGUCAUUUCUUAACAACUGGUUAACUGCAUCUCUUACAUUUCCAAUUUAGGAUUGCAUUACUGAUAGCAUCUGUUUGAACCUCACUGAUGCAAAUCAAAGAUAACUACAAACCUUAAAUACAUUUUUUAAAAAUUAAAAAUUGGUGACGUUUGACAUUUCUCUGUCCUCCCUGAAAAAAAUAACAUAACAUGGGCAAAAAUACGAUAGAUUUUAGUUCUAAUGGUUGUUUCAUCAGUAGAUUCUAUUGCCUAACCUAUUUAGACUGUGGCUAUGUUAAGUGAUUGUCAUACAAUUAUUUAUUUAGUGAAAGAUUCACCAGACUCCUUGAAAAAUUUGUCUGAUUUGACUUGGUAUUUCAUCGCAGCCAAGAGACUUGGGAGAUGCCUAUCAGAAAUCUAAAAAAUAAAUUUGAUUCUCCAAUCAGUUACUUAUAACUGUUUUGGAAUAUCCUUCUGUGAUGGAAGGCUAGGACUGCUACCAUCUUGAAUUUGCAAAGGGGGUGUUGAGUCAAAUGUUUGAGAGUUGAAAGUUAUCUGUAGAUUCUCAUGGACAAUAUUUAAUGCCACAUUAUAAUCAUCAUGUUCAAUUUUUUCACAUUUAGUCGGUAGUAUAUUAUGAAUCCAUUCUCUUAAAGUUUUAGAACGGAGGCUAAUCUGCAAAUGUGAUGCAGGCCUUCUUGGGUGAACCAGAAAUGGUCAUCUCUUCUGAAAAAUGUUAUCAAGAAAGGCAAAAUCAGUGGAAAAAAAGAAAAAAUAUCACAGUGUGUUGCAUAUGCAGUAUUAAUCAGUCUGGAAUAUAUUGAAAAUUGAAGUGGAAAUACCAGAUUUUGGUUUAUCAAUAAAAAUAAAUUACAAAGGUGGAAAAAAGCCAUGUAUAUAUAUGUAAAACACCCAACAAAUAUUUGUUAUUGGAGUAUAAUUUUGAUAAACGUACAAACAUUGGCAACUGUAGUAAUUAUAUUUUGUACAUGCCAAGUAUUAAACAGUGCAAAUGCAUAUGUUACAAUGUAAAGUAUUGUUAAUAAUCAUUUCCUAUAUUUGAUCCAAGGAUGUGUUUCAGUUUUCCUGAAUAACAAGCAGCUUUUCAUGAAAUUUCAAAAAUAAAAAAUAAAUACAAACAUCCAUUA